RNAcentral lists this ribosomal RNA (425 nucleotides) under uncultured bacterium. RNAcentral describes it as "partial 16S ribosomal RNA". It matches the Rfam family "Bacterial small subunit ribosomal RNA", at positions 354 to 796 of the family's 1533-position model. The record is from RNAcentral.
GUGGGGAAUAUUGGGCAAUGGGGGAAACCCUGACCCAGCAACGCCGCGUGAAGGAAGAAGGUUUUCGGAUCGUAAACUUCUAUCCUUGGUGAAGAUAAUGACGGUAGCCAAGAAGGAAGCCCCGGCUAACUACGUGCCAGCAGCCGCGGUAAUACGUAGGGGGCAAGCGUUGUCCGGAAUGAUUGGGCGUAAAGGGCGCGUAGGCGGCCUGGUAAGUCUGGAGUGAAAGUCCUGCUUUUAAGGUGGGAAUUGCUUUGGAUACUGUCGGGCUUGAGUGCAGGAGAGGUAAGCGGAAUUCCCGGUGUAGCGGUGAAAUGCGUAGAGAUCGGGAGGAACACCAGUGGCGAAGGCGGCUCACUGGCUCGAUACUGACGCUGAGGUGCGAAAGCGUGGGGAGCAAACAGGAUUAGAUACCCGUGUAGUCC